This 496-nucleotide ribosomal RNA is filed under the name uncultured bacterium. Its description in RNAcentral is "partial 16S ribosomal RNA". It matches the Rfam family "Bacterial small subunit ribosomal RNA", at positions 29 to 507 of the family's 1533-position model. The record is from RNAcentral.
AUGAACGCUGGCGGCGUGCCUCAUACAUGCCAGUCGCGCGAGCAGACGAGGAGCUUGCUCCUCUGACGUUAGCGGCGGACGGGUGAGUAACACGUGGAUAACCUACCUAUAAGACUGGGAUAACUUCGGGAAACCGGAGCUAAUACCGGAUAAUAUAUUGAACCGCAUGGUUCAAUAGUGAAAGACGGUUUUGCUGUCACUUAUAGAUGGAUCCGCGCCGCAUUAGCUAGUUGGUAAGGUAACGGCUUACCAAGGCAACGAUGCGUAGCCGACCUGAGAGGGUGAUCGGCCACACUGGAACUGAGACACGGUCCAGACUCCUACGGGAGGCAGCAGUAGGGAAUCUUCCGCAAUGGGCGAAAGCCUGACGGAGCAACGCCGCGUGAGUGAUGAAGGUCUUCGGAUCGUAAAACUCUGUUAUUAGGGAAGAACAAAUGUGUAAGUAACUAUGCACGUCUUGACGGUACCUAAUCAGAAAGCCACGGCUAACUACGUG